AGAUUUUUGAAUCUAUGCAGAGAUUUCGUCAGACACCAACCCAUUACGGCUGACCGGACUCCCAAGAUACGUGAAGUU
Molecule: microRNA precursor, 78 nt
Filed under: Schistosoma curassoni
Lineage: Eukaryota; Metazoa; Platyhelminthes; Trematoda; Strigeidida; Schistosomatidae
Description: mir-3492 microRNA precursor family
Rfam family: mir-3492 microRNA precursor family
Source: Rfam by way of RNAcentral